Molecule: long non-coding RNA, 845 nt
Organism: Triticum aestivum (bread wheat)
Lineage: Eukaryota; Viridiplantae; Streptophyta; Magnoliopsida; Poales; Poaceae
Exons: 2
Source: RefSeq, a predicted model, not a curated record
AAUCGCACGGCAUCUUCACGGGCGAUUGGAUCUGAGCUCUCAUCCCUGGUCCCCCGUGCUGACGGUGUCAUCACAGCGUGAACACAGCGAACCACACCGGAGUCAACGGCGCCCUCCUCCCUCUCCUCUGCGCCCGCCGAUGCGGGCCGCGUCUUCGUGUCCUCGGCCAUGCUGCGAGCGGCAGCGAUGCGGUUGGCGUCAGCGCCGACGGAGUUCCCGUCUUCUCCCCUGCAUCGCGAGCGUAGUGCCAGCCUGCCUACGUCGGGGUUGCUCGCCACAUGGCCGACCCGGAGGUGGAGACGCUGCGACCAGCUUCAUCACCAAGCUGCAUCCCUGAACCUCCAUAGCGAGCGCUAUUCAUGUAUAACCAUCUCUCUGGAAUUCUGGAGUGGCCCGCGGACGAGCAGGAGCAGCUGUCUCACGUCUCGAGCUUCUAUUGCGGACCAUCCGCAGAAGACGCAUAUAUAGAUCCAAUUGCCAGCGUAUAUCCUUUUUGCAAGUCAUGGGUAUCUGCAUGCGUCCCUCCCAAUUACAAUCAGAAUUUCUAUAAGACAUAGAGGUGAUGGCUCCAGAAAUCAGGCGAUUCAGACAAAGAUGUCGGUGACAGAUGGAGGCUUCCAACAUCUCGCCAAAACAAACUGCCGAGUGCCUACUGCCUAACGAAGUAAGUUGGGAAUCAAAUUUGUAAGAUGGUGAGUGGACGUAUUACCUUAUCUUUCAAAUUCUAAUGUGCGUAUUCAUUCCCUACACCUAUAAUUACUUGGCCUACCACUUGCAAGCUGAAUGUGCUUUCCAAUUCAAACCCAUGUGUGACAUAAUAACCAUAAAAAGUUCGAUUUGCUAAA